UACAGAGGUCUCAAGCGUUGUUCGGAUUCAUUGGGCGUAAAGGGUGUGUAGGUGGCGCCGUAAGUCGGGUGUGAAAUCUCGGGGCUUAACUCCGAAACUGCAUUCGAUACUGCGGUGCUUGAGGACUGGAGAGGAGACUGGAAUUCAUGGUGUAGCAGUGAAAUGCGCAGAUAUCAGGAGGAACACCGGUGGCGAAGGCGGGUCUCUGGGCAACAACUGACGCUGAGGAGCGAAAGCGUGGGGAGCGAACAGG
RNAcentral lists this ribosomal RNA (253 nucleotides) under uncultured bacterium. RNAcentral's name for it is "partial 16S ribosomal RNA". It matches the Rfam family "Bacterial small subunit ribosomal RNA", at positions 524 to 776 of the family's 1533-position model. The record is from RNAcentral.